Non-coding RNA from Leptonychotes weddellii (Weddell seal), 348 nucleotides. NCBI's taxonomy places the organism in Eukaryota, Metazoa, Chordata, Mammalia, Carnivora, Phocidae. The record is from RefSeq and is a predicted model, not a curated record.
GACUUGGCCACCCAUGCAGUGAAAUAAUCCCCAAGAAAUGCACUGCUUGGAAUGGAAAUGAAAAGAAAGUGAACAGUCAGUCAUUCCAGGGCAUCUACUAAAUAUUACUGACAGUCAUUCAGUCUAAAGUUUGCCUGAUUCUUAACACUGCAAAUCUCAGAUUUGGGAUGUAUUACAUAGAUCACAGGAAACAGUUGACAACAAGCAGUUGGAGCCCUGUUGCUGUCAAGCUCCGGGUCGUAAGCAUGGGACCCUGGAUGAGAAGAAAGAAGCAACAUUCAACUGUACGAUGGCCUACACUUUUUGACCCAUCGGAGACUCACGUGAAUAAAGAAAAGCAGAAUUUCG